UGGUGGGUUGCCUUGUCAGGUUGAUUCCGGUAACGAACGAGACCUCAGCCUGCUAAAUAGCUAGGGUCGCAUCUGCGGCUCGCCAGCUUCUUAGAGGGACUAUUGGCGUUCAGCCAAUGGAAGUGUGAGGCGAUAACA
Molecule: ribosomal RNA, 138 nt
Filed under: uncultured eukaryote
Lineage: Eukaryota
Description: partial 18S ribosomal RNA
Rfam family: Eukaryotic small subunit ribosomal RNA
Source: RNAcentral